Molecule: RNA transcript, 1617 nt
Organism: Dermacentor andersoni
Lineage: Eukaryota; Metazoa; Arthropoda; Arachnida; Ixodida; Ixodidae
Source: RefSeq, a predicted model, not a curated record
UCGGCAGGCAGCGGCGGCGGUCGCGACUGCUCCUCGCGGCCCCGCGUUCAGACGCGCGCGCGUGCCGAAUAUGCGGCUCCUCGGGAUUGCUUGCGCCUCGCCGGCUCAUUCCGGCCACGAUUACCUUCGUUGACUUCGGCAUACGCGAUCGCCGUCAACGGCGGCUGAUGACGGCGACGACAACGGAUAGGGUGUCGUGAGUGCCCACAACAUUGCACUGCAUUCCGGUUUGUCCUCUCUCUGUCUGCCUACACGUCUAUGUUGUUCAGAAUUGGAGCCAUGCGACUGGAAUACUCUGGCAUCGUGCACUCUCCUUCCGCCGUCACCACUAUUUUGAUGCUCUUGUGCAUUUUCGCAAUCCAGUCGGCAAGUGGUGUGCAGAUCGUGCGGUUAUCUGUCCCCAUGUGGGUCGAGAACGGCACCGAGGACUCAGUGUUGUUGGACUGCGAGUACGCGUACACUGAGCGUGACGACUCACAGCUGGUGGUCAAGUGGUUUCUGAACGAUGACCCAAAACCCAUCUACCAGUGGAUACCCGAGCUGGAGACACGCCACGUCUCUCAGAGGCUGAAGGGGCGCCUGAACACCGACUUCACGGUCACCGCAAACCACUUCACAAAGUUCCGCGCUCUCAACCUGUUGCGACCGACCACCGAGCUGAGCGGCAGGUACUCGUGUCACGUGACUUCGCACAAUAGCCAGGACCAAAAGUCGCAACUCAUGACCGUCUAUGCACGUCCAAAGCACUUCGUGUUCAACUUCUCACGAACCGCCGAAGAAUCGGCGACCACCUUCGUCUGCGAAGCGACCGGCGCAUUUCCUUUGCCCACGCUGUCGCUGUACCAGUUAGAUGAAGGAUCUUCUGCUUCCCCACCACGGCGCCACGCCCUCACCCCAACGCAGCGGGUGACGCCCCGGCAGGACGGAUCCUACGUCACUCGCGUCUCCAGCCAAGUGCCGGACGAACAGUUCUCGCGCUCGGGUCGGCACUUGUUCGUGUGCCUACUCUCCAUACCGGGCACGGACUUCAAGAAGCAGCGACUCAUCGAGUUCUAUCCAGAAUACUACAUGGACAGCGCAACCUGCCGGGAGAUGAGUUGGUGUCUGGCACUCGCUAUGUUUGCACUGAUCUGGGCCUCACGGUAAUGUCAACAAGGGUCCGCCUACGAGGUAAGCAAGUCAUAGCAGGUAACCUGCGCUUCCGGUCAUCUGCUUUCGAGACCAAGUCAACUUCGUUCGGGAAAACUCCAAGCCCGGAUUAAAAGAAGAGAGACGUCGUACACUCCUACCGCAUAAAAGCCAAGCGGUAGUGCAACGUUCUCUGGGAGCCCAUACAACUCUAGGGGCACCUCGACUUGCCCCAUCAACUGCUAAGUGAGACGAAGGCCAAUAACAUUGCAGAAAAAAGGCUGAAGACAGAAGUGGUUCCAUUGAAUGAACGUGCACAAAGAUUUCCCUGUUAUUUCUUUUUAAUUUCACCUGUUUUACUUCAAAGAAAUGUUUCGGAGGAUAUAAGUUCAGAGUAUAACUAUGCCCGCUGUGUAAAUAAUAUAGCGCCUUGUUAAAAUGAGAAAGAAAGGUAUGCACAGGUGAAAAUAAAAAUAUCAUAUUUAUGAA